This 1000-nucleotide long non-coding RNA is filed under the name Nicotiana benthamiana. RNAcentral describes it as "long non-coding RNA (NBEN_LNC042662)". Lineage: Eukaryota; Viridiplantae; Streptophyta; Magnoliopsida; Solanales; Solanaceae. The record is from RNAcentral.
AGAAGAUUACACUAAAACCCAGACGAAAAUCGUUGAUUUCCACUGCAAAUGCUGUAAGGUAAUAUUUUUCUUCAUGAAAAGCUUCGUUUUUCUUUCCUUAACUGUUUUUUGCUCAAUAUUUUGUGUGUUAUUUCUGUUUUCUAAGGUUUUUCGUCUAGGAUUUUGAUUUGUAGUGUUUAGUCGACAUCCAUAUAUUUAUUUUUUUACUUUCAGUUGUGUAUUCAUAUUUUUUUGUCUACUUCAAGUGUUUACAUGUUUUAUAAUUGAUGUUAUCCCGAUGUGAAGUUAUUUUUGGUCCCGACAUAAUUUUUUAAAAUUUUGGUAGCUGGUUUAGGUUUCUUUUGGUCCCAAUAUUCUGAGCUUUUUCUGUUGUUUAAUAGGUAAAUUUAUCUCCAAUUAUGCUACUUUCUGAUUAUAGUAUUAUGUGAGUAGGACCAUAUUUAAUGAUUUAUUCGUUAAUUUAUUAAGGAGUUGGCCUGAAAGUGGACCUUUAUGUGGUUUAGUCCCAAGAUCUGAACUUCUUCUUUAUUUAUUAAGUGAAGUUGUCUCCAAUUGUUUGACCUUUUACUAUCAAAGUAUUCCCUGAGUAGGACUACCUUCAAUGGUGAUAUGACAGAUCAAUGUGAUCUUUUCGGUGUUGAACCCCUUGCUUUAACUGAUUACUUACUUAUGCCUUUUUAUUUACUUUUAUUGUUACCCUUUUAGUUUUGCCUUUUUAUUGAUUUCUUUAUUCUUUUUUGACUAACCUUAUUUGCUAUAUUUGUAGGUUAUUGGAGGUGAUGUUGUUCAAUGAUAAUGGUGAUUGAAUUACACAGCCCGAGGUCUUAUAAACUGGGGCACACUUGGACUGGUUAUGAUUUAGACCUAGUUUUAUAUAUAGACAUAGUGAAUGAAUAUACAAAUGAACCGGGGUUUGUAGGGGUUGGCAACUUAUUGUUGUUGGUUCAACAAUUUCUAGCAACUUUUAUGAGAUUGAUAGGGAUGUUGGAUUAGACAAUUA